GGAGUUUCCAUGCACACACCCUCUUGCCUGCCACCAUGAAAGGCAUGUCUUGCUUUCCCUUUCCUUCCACCGUGAUUGUGAGCCCUCCCCAGCCAUGUGGAACUUGCAUGACAGCACUCCAGGUUGCUGUUUCUGACCACUGCACAGCACCACCCACUGUGAUCCUUCCUGUUACUUCUCCAGCCCCUGGUGAAGAGCUGCCUCCAACUUCCUGCGCUCACCUGCAAUACUACAAAUUUCGCUCUUGUUGACCAGGCUGGAGUGCAAUGGCACGAUCUCAGCUCACCGCAUUCUCCGCCUCCGGGGUUCAAGUGAUUCUCCUGCCU
RNAcentral lists this long non-coding RNA (326 nucleotides) under Homo sapiens (human). RNAcentral describes it as "HSALNT0143157". Lineage: Eukaryota; Metazoa; Chordata; Mammalia; Primates; Hominidae. The record is from RNAcentral.